Onychomys torridus (southern grasshopper mouse) is the source of this 2150-nucleotide RNA transcript. It is a transcript of the gene named radical S-adenosyl methionine domain containing 1, with no coding region annotated. The record is from RefSeq and is a predicted model, not a curated record. Lineage: Eukaryota; Metazoa; Chordata; Mammalia; Rodentia; Cricetidae. The transcript is spliced from 10 exons.
CGAGGUCACGCACAGCCCCUCUGACUUCCGCUGGGGCGCCCCACGCGGCUCAGCUCAGCUCAGGGCACACCCUUGCUGGGCGCGCUGUCGAGGUCUCGGAUCCCUGCCUUCUGCCGCCCUUGAACGGAAUGGUUCCCUCCCGGGUCCAGACCGGGAGAUGGGCGGCAGCAGUCAGGGCGGCCCAGAGGCGCCCUCGUGUGGACAGCCCGGGACGGCCUCGGAGUCCUGAGUCCGCGAGCACGCGCGCGGCCCUUUACGUGCACUGGCCCUAUUGCGAGAAGCGCUGCAGCUACUGCAACUUCAAUAAGUACAUCCCCCGCGGCGUGGAGGAGGGAGCCUUGCGGAACUGCCUGGUGACCGAGGCGCGGACGCUGCUGCGGCUCAGCGGGGUGCAAAGGGUGGAGUCUGUGUUCUUUGGUGGGGGAACCCCGAGUCUGGCCAGUCCUCACACGGUGGCUGCUGUCCUGGAGGCCGUGGCACAGGAAGCCCAUUUGCCUGCAGAUUCAGAAGUCACAUUGGAGGCUAACCCCACUUCAGCCCCAGGUUCCAGGCUGGCAGCUUUUGGAGCAGCAGGAGUCAACAGGUUGUCCAUUGGUCUGCAGUCCCUGGAUGACACGGAGCUGCAGCUGCUGGGCCGGACUCACUCAGCCAGCGACGCUUUGCAGACUCUGGCGGAAGCCAGGCGCCUUUUCCCUGGCAGGGUGUCCGUGGAUUUGAUGCUGGGGCUGCCGGCACAGAAGGUGGAGCCGUGGCUUCAACAGCUUCAGAAACUGCUGCACCACUGUGAUGACCACCUCUCCCUCUACCAGCUGACCCUGGAACGCGGCACCUCACUCUUUGCUCAGGUGCAGCAGGGCACCCUCCCAGCGCCUGACCCCGACCUGGCUGCUGAGAUGUACCAGGAGGGCAGGACCGUCCUUCGAGACGCUGGCUUCCGCCAGUAUGAGGUCUCCAACUUUGCCCGGAACGGGGCGCUCAGUACCCACAACCGGACUUACUGGCAGUGUGGUCAGUACCUUGGCAUUGGGCCUGGAGCCCAUGGACGAUUCAUGCCCCAGGGAGCUGGAGGCCACACCCGGGAAGCACGGAUCCAGACCCUGGAGCCAGACAACUGGAUGAAAGAGGUGAUGCUUUUUGGUCACGGCACCCGGAAGCGCGUCCCCUUGGGCAAGCUAGAGCUGCUGGAGGAGGUUUUGGCUAUGGGGCUGCGCACUGAUGUGGGGGUCACUCAUCAGCACUGGCAGCGGUUUGAGCCCCCACUGACCCUGUGGGACCUGUUUGGAGCCAGCAGGGAGCUGAAGGAGCUGCUAGCACAGCGCCUGAUGCUGCUAGACCACAGGGGUCUCCGGUGUUCCUGGGACGGCCUAGCUGUUCUGGACUCGCUGUUGCUGAUACUCCUGCCUCAACUCCAAGAGGCCUGGCGGCACAGGACUCCCUCAUCUGUGUCAGGAGGAUGACCAGCUGUUCCUCAUCAUAGGGCUUCAUCGUAGGGCAGCACCAGUUGGACUUGGAAGGCUGAGCCAGCAUGGUGGGCAUCUCUCCUGUGCCCGCAGAAUGCAAACUCACUGCUAGCUGAAGAGAAUGCUCCACUCCGAUCCUCUGCGUCCACCUCCCGAGUGCUGCCAUUGCAGGCAUGCGCCACCAUACCUGUUUGUCGGAGAUGCUGGACUUCACGUUGCAAGGCAGACGCUACCAACUACCUUUUCAGCCCUCUCAGGUUCAGUGUUUUUUUAAAUUAGAUUUCUCUAUUUUACUCUGUGUAUAUAAGUAUUUUGUGGUCAUGCCUGAAUGUGCAGCAUGCGCAUGCCUGUUGGCUCCCCUGAAACUGGGGUUAUGGGUGGUUGUAAAACCAUGAUGUAGGUGCAGGAAACUGAACCUGGGUCCUCUGCCAGAGCAGCAAAUGCUCUUAACUGUUGACCCAUCUCUCCAGCACCCCAGGUUAAAUAUUACACAGCUGCAUCUUUGCUUUGAAAUUAAGGAGCUCAUCAUCUGUAGUGUGAUCCCUUGAGACCAAGGUGUGUGGGGGGGGUGGUGGUGGUGAGGGUCCCAUCCCUGAUAAUCAUUUGACCAGUGAUUUUGGCACUUACUGAUUCUUUGCCAAGCCAUUUAUUAAUUUAUUUAUUCUUUUUCCCCCCAAGACAGGGUUUCUC